GGUAUGGUAAGCUAAAUAAGCUAAUGGGCUCAUACCUCAUUGAUGGUAAAUUCCAAAUUAAUAUUUA
RNAcentral lists this transfer RNA (67 nucleotides) under Porcellio dilatatus dilatatus. Its description in RNAcentral is "tRNA-Met". The record is from RNAcentral. Lineage: Eukaryota; Metazoa; Arthropoda; Malacostraca; Isopoda; Porcellionidae.